Molecule: ribosomal RNA, 504 nt
Filed under: uncultured bacterium
Lineage: Bacteria
Description: bacterial SSU rRNA
Rfam family: Bacterial small subunit ribosomal RNA
Source: RNAcentral
UACGAGUUUGAUCAUGGCUCAGGAUGAACGCUAGCGGCAGGCCUAAUACAUGCAAGUCGAACGGAUAUAUGUUUUUCGGAAUAUAUAUUAGUGGCGCACGGGUGAGUAACACGUACAUAACUUGCCCUCAAGCGGGGGAUAGCCUUGGGAAACUGAGAGUAAUACCCCAUAGAAUUAUUGGACGGCAUCGUUUGAUAAUUAAAACUACGGUGCUUGGGGAUAGAUGUGCGUCUGAUUAGCUAGUUGGUGAGGUAACUGCUCACCAAGGCGACGAUCAGUAGGGGGCGUGAGAGCGUGGCCCCCCACACGGGUACUGAGACACGGACCCGACUCCUACGGGAGGCAGCAGUAAGGAAUAUUGGUCAAUGGAGGGAACUCUGAACCAGCCAUGCCGCGUGAAGGAUGACGGCCCUCUGGGUUGUAAACUUCUUUUGGAUGGGGCGAAAAAACGGGAUUUAUCCUGGACUGACGGUACCAUCAGAAUAAGCACCGGCUAACUCCGUG